UGUACCCCCAUCCCAGCAGCUAAAAGCACAACCAUCCCUUAGUCCCCCGACGGUUUGGCAGCGGAGAACCAAACCCUUAACCCCCGCCACCCCGUCGUUACCUGCAGACCCCAACCCUAUCGCAUCUACUGCGUCGUCGUCCGUCCCCCCCCUCCCCGAGAAAUGAGGGGAGGAAAAGGGAGAAUACACACAUACACAGAGUGAGAUGAUGGGGAAGGGGGCGGUGUCCUCCGGUACCUCCCCCCCCCCCCCCAGGAUAGGGCUGAUGCUGGCGCGCUACCCGGGUACCGGGGAUGGCCCCCGCCGCCACGUCUUAAACUUCGGGGAAACCCGUUUCGACCCCCCAUUCCCCUUUCCAGUAGGACCAGCCUUUUAGCCCGGCGAGGGAAAUAAAGACCUCUCAGGGGCUCACUGAAAGAUCUGCAGGGAUUUGCAACUGUCAAAGGGAAGACUCGUUCAGAAGAACCCAGCAAGAUGCAUCAAUAGAAUGUUUGCUUCCAACAUACCCCACUGAGCACUUUUUUAUCUCGAGGAGGUCGAAGCCAUAAUUGCACUUCAAAGAAAAUGCCCUCCUGCUCUUGCCCUCAACUUAAUCAUGGGAACAAGCUCAGAAAUCAGAUGGACACCAACCAAACUCUGGAAAAGGAGUAUUUGGUAUGUUGAACCAGAGAAACAUUUCCUAGAACAAUCAGCUCAGCUCUUCUCAACUGCAACACUAUUUCCUCACAGACUUGAGAUCAAAGACUCUUAUUUUAGCUAACAGGGCUCUCAGCGUGCUUUGGGAAGACUGUCCCACCGUUCCACUUUUCAGUUCAAAUUUCCAAAGGACAAAUCCUCACUGCCACUGCAGAUGGCUGCUGGGAUGAACUCCAACUCCUCUAGUCCAUUACACAACUCCAGGGACUGCUGCUUCUCAUGCUUCCUUUGCAAAGGCUAAAGUGAUGGUGCAAACUGUGGAGCAGGGGUGGACUCUCAUGCUGAAAAAGUACUUCAGAAAAAAUGCCUCUCCUCCGUUACCUCAUGAGAGAGGAAGAUGACAGAAUCACAGAAUCACAGAAUGUCAGGGGCUGGAAGGGACCUCAAAAGCUCACUCAGUCCAACCCAUCUGCCAGAGCAGGAUCACCUAUACCAGAUCACACAGGAACACAUCCAGGAGAUAACAAAGGACUUCUACCGUAAGUAAGUGGCAGGGUUGGAGAAGUUGGAGAGAUCUGGAACUGGGCACCUGGGAAGAGGCAGUGCCUCGCUGGAGAUGUUAAACUCUGCAAUCAGCACCAGGAGAAGGAGCCAAACAAAACCUGCCCCAGAAUAAAUUUUCAGGCUGGUUCUGUUUCACUUUUUUUUUUUUUUUUUUUAAAAUAAAUAUGUAUUUGAGGAGCUGUGCUCAUUAUGGUGGUUUACUUACAGGAGGCAAAGCUCUG
This is a long non-coding RNA of Pogoniulus pusillus (Red-fronted tinkerbird), 1421 nucleotides long. RefSeq lists it as uncharacterized. The record is from RefSeq and is a predicted model, not a curated record. The transcript is spliced from 5 exons. NCBI's taxonomy places the organism in Eukaryota, Metazoa, Chordata, Aves, Piciformes, Lybiidae.